Molecule: ribosomal RNA, 482 nt
Filed under: uncultured bacterium
Lineage: Bacteria
Description: partial 16S ribosomal RNA
Rfam family: Bacterial small subunit ribosomal RNA
Source: RNAcentral
AUUGAACGCUGGCGGCAUGCUUUACACAUGCAAGUCGAACGGUAACAGGCCGCAAGUUGCUGACGCGUGGCGGACGGGUGAGUAAUGCACCGGAACGUGCCCAGUCGUGGGGGAUAACUACUCGACAGAGUAGCUAAUACCGCAUACGAUCUAUGGGUGAAAGCGGGGGACCGUAAGGCCUCGCGCGAUUGGAGCGGCCGAUGUCAGAUUAGGUAGUUGGUGGGGUAAAGGCUCACGAAGCCCACGAUCUGUAGCUGGUCUCAGAGGACGAGCAGCCACACUGGGACUGAGACACGGCCCAGGGUCCUACGGGAGGCCGCAGUGGGGAAUGUUGGACAAUGGGCGGAAGCCUGACACAGCAAGGCCGCGUGUAGGACGAAGGCGUUCGGGUUGUAAACUGCGUUUGUACGGAGCGAAACGGUUCUGGUUAAUACCCGGGGCUAAUGACGGUACCGUAAGAAUAAGCACCGGCUAACUACGUG